This 301-nucleotide ribosomal RNA is filed under the name uncultured bacterium. Its description in RNAcentral is "partial 16S ribosomal RNA". It matches the Rfam family "Bacterial small subunit ribosomal RNA", at positions 509 to 807 of the family's 1533-position model. The record is from RNAcentral.
CAGCCGCCGCGGUAAAACGUAGGUGGCAAGCGUUGUCCGGAAUUAUUGGGCGUAAAGGGCUCGCAGGCGGUUUCUUAAGUCUGAUGUGAAAGCCCCCGGCUCAACCGGGGAGGGUCAUUGGAAACUGGGAAACUUGAGUGCAGAAGAGGAGAGUGGAAUUCCACGUGUAGCGGUGAAAUGCGUAGAGAUGUGGAGGAACACCAGUGGCGAAGGCGACUCUCUGGUCUGUAACUGACGCUGAGGAGCGGAAGCGUGGGGAGCGAACAGGAUUAGAUACCCCCGUAGUCCCUGUCUCUUAUAC